AGGCAACACUUCUGUGAUUUUUUAUGACGGAUGAUGUGUUAUACUGCUCAUAAAAAAAAUUCUAUGGCUCUUCAGAUUUGCUGAGGUAACGGUGAAGCUGGUCUAGUAAGCUUUAGUACAUU
Small nucleolar RNA from Cannabis sativa, 122 nucleotides. RefSeq annotates it as small nucleolar RNA snoR77. The transcript has a single exon. The record is from RefSeq and is a predicted model, not a curated record. Lineage: Eukaryota; Viridiplantae; Streptophyta; Magnoliopsida; Rosales; Cannabaceae.